Mycena galopus ATCC 62051 is the source of this 93-nucleotide non-coding RNA. The record is from the annotation of a GenBank genome assembly. NCBI's taxonomy places the organism in Eukaryota, Fungi, Basidiomycota, Agaricomycetes, Agaricales, Mycenaceae.
UCAGGUAUGGUGUAGCGGUAACACGUCCCUUACUCAUUCCGAAGUGCAACAAAAAUUAUGGGGACAUCCGGAGUUCAAAUCUCUGUACCUGAA